This 1781-nucleotide long non-coding RNA is filed under the name Ananas comosus (pineapple). RNAcentral describes it as "long non-coding RNA (ACOM_LNC026525)". Lineage: Eukaryota; Viridiplantae; Streptophyta; Magnoliopsida; Poales; Bromeliaceae. The record is from RNAcentral.
AACCGAGUUCCAUAUACAUACACUGAAUCCCAGAGUACAAAGCUACUCGCACUGGCGAGUUAAAAGUCUGUAUGUACAUGAACCCAAACUAAAACAUCUACCUGCAGUAGGGGUGCCUCUAGCUCUGCUCCUCGGGUAGGGCUCUAACUCGUGACGCCCUUGCCUAGCUCCUGACGAGCAACAGCAGCAGCCGAAGACGAAGGCUCUGCAAAAACGGGGUAACAACUGGGCGUGAGAACUACUAUAGAAACAAGUAGUCCUCAGUGGGUGCCGCCCUCAACAAUCAUCGGUCCACCCAUUAAGUCUACAGAAGGUAACAAGGCUAGCAGAAAAAGCUGGAAAGAAAUCUACAGCUACAUAUCGCUACACUAGCAUGAUCUACACUAACCAACUAUAGUAAAAGUCACAACUAACUCAAUCUCAUUAGGGACUGUGAACACACCCGUCCCGCCUGUCGGAUCGAACCCGUAUCCUACUCCAGGAAUAGCUGGUGGAGAAAACUCUUUAGGGACUAUGAAUACACCCGUCCCGCCUAAUUAGGUGACACCGUAGCUCAAGAGUAACCGGCGGAGAAAACUCUCUGGAGACUGUGAAUACACCCGUCUCGUCUACUAGAAUACGCCGUAUCUCAAGAGUAAUCGGCGGAGAAAACUCUCUAAAGACUGUGAAUACAUCCGUCUCACCUAAUUAGACUACACCGUACCUCGAGAGUAGUCGGUCCCAGAAAAGGGUCCAACAGGAUGGUUAAGACUCCACUCACGUCACAACCUCACUAAAGGUAGGGAAAAACAUCACUCACUCUCUCACCCGGGCUGCCCAAAACGGACCCACUCUGCCUGUAUCUAGCUGCGCCGUACACCACCCCGAGGGUAGCCGGCUCAAGAACUGUCCAACAGAAACUGCGACACUCAUCGCACUGAAACCUCAUUCCGGAAUGGCAUUCGCGGGCGCGACCCAACGAGUUUACAAGUAUCUCUGUCAAGUUCAUACCGCUCUCACAGGCUAAGUCAAGUAACCGACUCUAACUGGUCUAACAACCAACAGGUAAUGUGCCAUCGGCACAAUCUAACGCCGAAAAGGCGAUACGAGUCCACCGUCCACUCCGACGGCACCGAACAGUCCGGAACAACCUGAACGCUACUGUAAAAAUACACUCGGCAUCCCAGCAUGAGUGUAACUGAAAAUUAAACUACCUGGAAUACUCACUAUGAGGAUACUGCAACAGUAUAAAAUAAUACAACGACCCCUAGGCUAAAUCAGGUAGUUUCAUAUAUGUCAGGUCCCGAACGCGGGUUUUCUCCUAUGUCAAAUUCAGGUCCAACAUGUAUAAUUUAUUUAUUAAAAAUAGGCUCCAAUUUCAGUUUAGAUGAAAACAACAUUUACAAAUAUGAAACUGAGCUAAAACAAUAGUAAUGUGUAAUACUAACUAUACAUGUCGACCAACAAGACUAUACGAGUAGGAAUCCGAUGAUAAACCCACCUCAAAAGCUAAUUCAGAAUAGCGAGAAGUCGAUAGGAGAAGAAAUCUCCGUGCUCGCUCGGCCUCCAACGACACUACCACGACAUACGCACGCUCCAACGGCUCGCCGGCGCGAAGUUGACGUCGCUCCAAGCUCAAUGUGGCCUCCACGAGCUCUCCACUUCAAUCUAGAGAGAGAGAGAGGAAAUUGCAAAUCAUAAUUAUCCCUUUCUGCCUCUCAAAGCUAUAUAGGCCACAAGAUAAGAAUGCAUGGGGGUGCACGUGGCAUCCAAAGCCACCCCCAUGCAUCACCAACCGACUA